AGAAACAGGCAGCCUGACUAGAGAACAAACUACCAAUUAACGAGCGAGGAAACAGGGCCAGAGAAUUGGAACAAAAUACAAGGCUGCCUCUGAAAGGAAUAUCUUUGUGCUGAUGUGUCCAUCAAGAGAACAUACACAGAAGUGACACUUGCCAGUAAUUUGCAAGCAGAUGGAACUUCAAUAUGGCAAUAGAGAAAGAAUCAAUUAGACCAGAGUCUCCUCAGGAAGACUUUCUAUAGAUAUCUGGUGAGCAUCUGCUAGAUGCCAGGGUUGGGGAGAGUCAAGUUGAAGCAAGCAUGAACCCUCAAGGACCUACCAUUUCAAGGCAAGAAAUAGAUACAAAUACAGUUGAGAGCCAUCUGUGAAGUUAAUUUCAGCACUGUUUACUCUUUCCUCCUAAAUCACUAAUGAAGAUGAAACAUUCAAUGGAAUUGAGCUUUGCACCCCUUUCUGGGAAAUUCCACCGAGGCUUGCUCUUGUUUCAGAAAAUAUUUACUGGAUAGCUACUAGACAUAAGGAUGCAGAAAUGAAUUAGAAAAAUUCCUCGCCCUUGUUCAAAGCUAUGCUGGCUCUUAGAACAUCUGAGCCCCCACUGUUUCAUCUUUAGAGGAUCCCAGCUGCUGGGGUGUGAGGCCAGUGCUGGAGCCAGCAGUCUCUGACCCAGAAGGGACCUGAGGUGCUAAAGAAAAGGGUACAAGCUGGAAAAGGGGAAAAUGAAUCAUGCUACAGGCCAAGUGUCCAUCACUGAUUCCCAGAGAUGCCCUUUGUGUGGUAGGCACUUCCAUGUGGACUCGCUACAGAGUUUGGAGUUCCUGAACAACAUGGACAGUGUUAAUUUGGAUUCCAUGCUUCAUGGCACAGAAUUGGAGCACUAACUACUCAGUGAUGACUUUCUCUUCCUCUAGCUAAGGUGAUCAACAAGUUUCCUUGUUCUUUCUCCAAGUAGUAGAAGAAAGUAAAGGUCAUAAGACCCUAAUUCCAGAGGGCCCUACCCUAUAACCAGAAGGAAGAACUAUUGCACAGAGAAUCUAAGAAGAAUCUAGACAGACAGCCCUUGCUGGAUUUCUCCACUCUGUUAGCAUUCGAUCAUUUGCCUUUUGUCCAGUCAUAUUUCUGCAUGGCUGUCCAUACUUUGUUGAACCUAAGCACAAAAUGGAAAGUUUUCCCUGUAUCUUUGGGUCGUCAUUCUGAAGGCUCCCAUGUUAUGUAAAACUAUGAUCAAAUAAAUAUGCAUGCCUUUUCUCCUAU
Molecule: long non-coding RNA, 1248 nt
Filed under: Homo sapiens (human)
Lineage: Eukaryota; Metazoa; Chordata; Mammalia; Primates; Hominidae
Description: long intergenic non-protein coding RNA 1643
Source: RNAcentral